Molecule: long non-coding RNA, 7902 nt
Filed under: Lactuca sativa (garden lettuce)
Lineage: Eukaryota; Viridiplantae; Streptophyta; Magnoliopsida; Asterales; Asteraceae
Description: long non-coding RNA (LSAT_LNC003799)
Source: RNAcentral
AAACUGGAAAGAUAUAGUCUAAUCUGAUGGGUUUUGAGCAUUCUAACACUUCCUAAGUGUACAUGCAACCCUAAUAACCUUGGAUCUAUGUUUGUCUAAUUAUCAUGCAAAGUUGAAUUCCAAGGUUAUAUUCCUAUCUAGCAUACAUGGGGAACAAUUUUAACUUGAAUCAUAGAUAGAAUAACUUACCUUGUUGUUGCUUGUGUUCCUUGAAACCUUGUGAGCCUAGCACCCCAAGUGUGAUGCCUCAAAUGCUUCACACAACACCAAAUGCUCUUGGAAAGACUCUUGAGAUAACACACACUUCUCAAAAUCGGCCAAGCCCUCUAGUUUCUUAGUGUUCAACUUGUGUAGCCAAUUUUGUGGAGAAUGGGACUCUUAUAUAGUGUUGGCACAUCUAGGGUUACACCAUGUAAACCCUAAUGUGUCAUGACUCUUCAUUUCCAUGACCCAUGGGUUUGUAACUCCCAUGGAGCAUCCAUGGAGCAUCCUAUGGGUAGAACCCAACUUGAUAAUCCAUGGAGCCUCUUAGCCCACUAUACAAGAUAUGGAUGAUUUACAUAAUCAACCCAUAUAUUUAAUUAGUUAUCCUUUGAUCACUUAAUUAAUUCCAAAUUAAUUCUUUGAUCAACUAAUCAAAUAAUAUUAUUAAUAUAUUAGAACUUAUAAUAUAUUAAUAAUCUCCAAGUGUUAUUUCUCUCAUUUAGUCUAUCCAAUUGCAUGGUGCCAUGCAACCCAAAUGGACCAUGCCGGGUCGGGUCAAGUACAAGCCCGAAAUAGUUAUGGACUUAGACACCUUAUCCAACAGUCUCCCACUUGGAUAAGUCUAAUAACUAUAUCUCUAGUACUUCAGGAACCGACCGGCAAUCGUAGCUCUUUCAAGGUCUCUCGGAACUGAGAAGAUGAUGGUACGCCAUUUAAGAUAAGUGAUCAUAUAAUCCUCCGUUCUAGAUAUCAGCCGGACAAAUACAUGGAACAUUGUCUUGCUUAUUGUCCAGCAUUUGUUUCCCGAUUUCCGAUUUGUUUGACAUAGAACUUAAUUGAACACAUCAACUUAGUUCUGACCGGGCCCGGUACAUGGGUCAAAACAAAAUCAUCGAGGGGCCCAGAUAUCAGCUUCUAAUCCAAGAAGGAACAGAUAAACUUCGACUCAUAUGUUUGUUCUACCACUCAUUGAAUUACACACAAAAGUACGUUUUAUAACAUCGAGUUACCAAUGCGGUUUCGUACAGUCAAUGCAUAACCAACUUGUAAGUAACAAAUCAUAUCUCUAGGUUUGAAGACUUAUAUGAUAUUACCGUCUCACGAUCACUCGAGAUAGAAUUCCAUGAAGUGAUUCCAGUGAGCGUGGGUUGAGUCCAAUGCUCAGAACUUAUGAGCACUCAUGAUUGUUGUAGCCUUGUCCAAGACCUCUACAACCAAACAUGACAGUCUUGAUUCAUAUCUACUUCCAACAUAUGACCGACUGUGGAGGUUUGAAUAAUAUGUUAUACCAAACAAAAUUAUUCUGGAAGUCAAAACAUGCAAAAGAAAUAUAGUAAACGAUCGACAAGAGAUAGCAACACUUUACUCAUAAAUAAAACACCUUUUAUUCAUCAUCAAAUGUCAAUUACACUUUACAAAUUUCUGGGUUAUCUAACUACUAAAACUUAUAUCAUCCUUCAGCCCUAUGCUCCGAGCAUGCUGGAGAUGCUUAACCCUACUCAGUCCCUUCGUGAGGGGAUCUGCUGGGUUCUCAUCCGAUGAUACCCUCUUUGCCACGAGGAGUCCUUCUUCGAUCCGAUGUCUAAUGAAAUGGUAUUUUCUGUCGAUGUGUCUGGAUCUCCCAUGAUCCCUUGGUUCCUUGGCUAAGGCAACAGCACUUUCACUAUCACAGAAAAUUUCCAUUGGCUCUUUAAUAGCUGGUACAACUCCAAGGUCUCCAAUGAAGUUCUUCAGCCAUAUCGCCUCCUUUGCUGCUUCACUAGCUGCAAUAUACUCUGAUUCACAAGUAGAAUCUGCCACUGUCUCUUGCUUGGAACUCUUCCAAGAAAUUGCUCCUCCGUUUAGGGUAAAGACCCAGCCCGACUGAGAGCGGAAAUUAUCCCUAUCAGUCUGGAAGCUAGCAUCACUAUACCCUACAACUCUCAAGUCAUCACUCCCACCGAGGGUAAGGACCCAGUCCUUAGUCCUCCGUAGGUACUUGAGGAUAUUCUUUACCGCAGUCCAGUGUGCCUUGCCAGGGUUCGCCUGAUACCUGCUAACCAUGCUCAAGGCAAAAGCUACAUCGGGUCGAGUACACGUCAUAGCAUACAUGAUCGAUCCUACAGCCGAAGCGUAAGGUGUUCGACUCAUUUCUGCUAUCUCAGCCUCAGUGCUAGGGCUUUGUGUCUUACUCAAUCUGGUGUUACUCUGGAUGGGUAACUCUCCUUUCUUGGAAUCCUGCAUGCUGAAUCUCUUCAGCACCUUAUCCAAGUAGGUACUCUGACUAAGUCCAAUUAGUCUUUUACUCCGAUCUCUCAAGAUUCUUAUCCCUAGAAUAUAGGCAGCUUCACCAAGGUCCUUCAUAGCGAAACACUUCCCAAGCCAGGACUUUACUUCCUGCAGGGUUGGAAUGUCGUUUCCUAUGAGUAGUAUGUCAUCCACAUACAAUACCAAAAAGCUAACUAUACUCCCACUAGCCUUGACAUACACACAAGAUUCAUCUUCACUCCUAGAAAAGCCAAAUUCCUUGACCUUUUCAUCAAAGCAAAGAUUCCAUCUGCGAGGUGCUUGCUUCAAUCCAUAAAUGGAUUUCUCAAGCUUACACACUCUAUUAGGGUACUCGUUGCUGACAAAACCCUCUGGCUGACUCAUGUAAACAUCUUCAGCCAACUUUCCAUUAAGGAAAGCGGUUUUGACAUCCAUCUGCCAUAUUUCAUAGUCAUGAAAUGCAGCUAUGGCUAACAGAACCCGAAUAGACUUAAUCUUGGCUACCGGAGAAAAGGUCUCAUCAUAAUCCACUCCAGGAAUUUGAGAGAAGCCCUUUGCAACCAGUCUAGCCUUAUAAGUGUGUACUUUACCAUCCAUGUCGGUCUUCUUCUUGAAGACCCAUUUGCACCCUACUGUCUUACGACCUGGUACAUUUUCAACCAAGUUCCAAACUUGAUUGUCAUACAUGGAUUGUAUCUCGCUAUCCAUAGCCUCUUUCCAUUUAGCAGACUCGGGGCCUGCCAUGGCUUCCUCGUAGCUGUUAGGGUCAUCUUGACUUACUAGUGUCUCAUCACUAAUAAGUGUCUCACCUUCUGCAGUAAUAUGGAAUCCAUAGUAAUGCUCAGGUGCACUCCUAACUCUCGUGGAACGUCUCAGAGGUACAGAUUUGUCAAUUGGCUCAACAGGAGUUUCCUCCUCAAGUUGAGGGCUAGAGUUUGAAGUUCCUUCACCGCUUGAUUCUUGAAUUUCUUCAAGAUCAAUUUGCCUCCCACUGUCUCCUUGGCUUAUAAACUCUCUUUCUCGAAAGACUCCUCUUCUUGCUACAAAGACCACAUUGUCACUAGGUCUGUAGAAGAGGUAACCAAAGGAUCGCUGUGGGUAACCGAUGAAAAUACACCUCUCGCUUCGAGGUUCGAGCUUAUCAUGAGUCUCGCGUCUCACGAAAGCCUCGCAACCCCAAAUCUUGAUGUGGUCUAGUUUAGGUACUUUACCAGUCCACAUCUCGUGAGGAGUUUUGGCAACUUUCUUUGUAGGGACUAGAUUAAGAAUAUGGGCGGCAGUCUCUAAGGCAUACCCCCAGAAUGAGAUUGGUAGCGUAGCUCGACUCAUCAUGGAACGAACCAUAUCUAACAAGGUUCGAUUACGCCUCUCAGCCACACCAUUCAACUGUGGUGUCCUGGGAGGUGUCAAUUGUGAGACUAUCCCACAUUCCCUUAGAUAGUCGAGGAACUCUGAACUAAGAUACUCACCACCACGAUCGGAUCGAAGCAUCUUAAUGUUCCUGCCCAAUUGAUUCUCGACUUCCUGUUUAAAUUCCUUAAACCUCUCGAAAGUCUCUGACUUAUGCUUGAUCAAGUAGACAUAUCCAUAUCUACUAUAAUCAUCAGUAAAAGUCAAAUAAUAACGAUUAGCAUCCCUUGUGGCAUGUUUGAAUGGUCCACACACAUCCGUGUGUAUAAGGUCCAACAAACCUUCACCCCUCUCACACGAACCUGUGAAGGGUGACUUUGUCAUUUUUCCAAGUAAGCAUGAUUCGCAACUAUCAUCUGACUUUAGGUCAAACGACUCCAAGACUCCAUCCUUUUGGAGUUGGCCUAUGCGUUUCUUGCUUAUAUGUCCAAGACGACAAUGCCAUAAAGAUGCUUUAUCCAAGUUAUUAUUAGUAGAAUCAAUACACAAAACAUUAUUUCCCAAGUUAUCUACAACAGAUACAGCUUCAUACACACCAUCACAAGGUAAUGCUUUAAAAUAAAAGACAUUAUUAUAGAAAACAUCUAUAGAACCAACUUCAUUAUUAAAUGAAAAGGUAAACCCUUGUUUGUACAAAGCAUGAAAGGAAAUAAUAUUUCUUGCCAUUCCUGGCGAAUAACAACACUUAUUCAAAUCUAAACUAAACCCACUACUUAGCGAUAAAGUAUAAACUCCAAUCUUGGUAACAGGUAUAGCUUUCCUAUUCCCCAUGAUCAAGUUUAUCCUUCCUUGCUCCACAUCCUCACUUCUUCUUAGUCCCUGCAAGUCACAACAAAUGUGAAUACCACACCCGGUAUCAAGGACCCAAGAAUUAGAAUGGGGUGAGUUAUUAGAAAUGAUAGUGUAAAUACCUGCAUGGUUGGGUUUAACUUUCCCAUCCUUCACAUCUUGCUGGUAUUUUGGGCAGUUCCGCUUCCAAUGAGCUUUUUCAUGGCAAUAGAAGCAUUCAGCCUCUUUUGGGUCAGAAGAAGGAGUAACGAAACCUUUCUUGGUUCCACUUGAAGAAGAGCCAUCAAGGGUCCGAGCCUUGGUACCCUUAGAAGAGCUCUUUCUCUUCCUCCCUCGACUUUUCCCGAUUGCCAAAACCGGAGUAGAGUUUUGAGUAGGAGUGAUAGCAACCGACUUCCCCUUAAGACCUGUUUCUGCGGUCUUGAGAAGUCCCUGAAGUUUGCUGAGGGUGACUUCUUCCUUGUUCAUGUGAUAUGUCAUGCGGAAUUGAUCAUAGCACGAUGGUAAGGAAUGCAAAAUAAUAUCUAUUGCAAGAUCCUCCGGGAAGUUCACAUUAAGCUUCAGCAAACGAUCCACAUACCUUUGCAUUUUCUGCAUGUGGCUCGUGACGGAUUCCCCGUCCUUCAUCAUGGUUGUUAUCAUGGAGCAGAUGAUUUCAUACCUCUCUUGUCUUGCACUUUGAUGGUAUCUUUCCAUCAAAUCUUGGUGCAUGUCAUAAGGGUAGAAAUCCUCAUAAGACUUUUGGAGUUCCGCUGUCAUCGUGGCCAUCAUGAUGCAAGCCACUUUCGUAGCAUCCCUUUCAUGUGCCCGAAAUUCAGCGAUCUCCUGAGGAGUUGCAGUGGACUCAUCAAUCUCCUUAAGCUCCUUGUCAAGGACAUAUUCUUUGUCCUCGUAGCGGGUAAUCAUCCUGAUGUUUCUGAUCCACUCAUUGAAGUUGGAUCCAUCAAAGGUGACUUUCCCACACAAGUUCAUAAGGGUAAAGGAGCCAUUAGGAUUAGAGCCAGAAGCAUUGUUGAAAGACAUCUGAAGGAAAGAGGACAAGAUUAGUUUAGAUAUAAGAGAGUCCUUAAUAAAACACCCAAAUGUAAUAUUAAGGCUAGGAUCCAAUCACAAUAUAAUAUAACUUAGAAGAGGUAUGCCGUAAUCUAAGCUAUAUCAUAUUUGAAAGGUAGGUGAAUGACGAUUCACCAAUUUCCACCACGAAAACCGCAAUAUUUUAGUAUUAGGUUUUUGAAUGGUUCUUAGAAAUUCCUAGAUUCUUUGAGAUUCAAUGAACUUUUCAAAGGCAUGUUUCAAUCUCGAGUGUGCCCUCCAAGUUUUGUGACUGGGAUACCGAGGAUCACAAAACGAGGUGUGAAGUAACCAUGCAAAUCACUUGGUACCCUUAAAGUUUAUCACUCAAUCGAUGUGCCGGUUAACCACACACGCUCCAUCGAUACUAUAAUAAACCCUAAGUCACCCUUUACCUACCUUGUUAAGUCCAAGUUAGUGUGCCGGUUAACCACACACGCUCCACCAACGACUUAAUCAAAGUGUAAAGUGUAAUUUCAUGGAAUAGCACCUUAUUCACAUUUUUCCUAAAGUAACUAAGAUUGGGAAUUUAAUAAAACAUUUAGUUACUUUAUAAUAUUCAUCAUACUUUGAAUGAGAAUUAAUAAGUCCUUGUCUUACCCGUUCGGCUAACGACCCUCCACCGAUCAAGCAAGCGGUGGGUGAGAGUGGACACCCAUUAAGUCACCAUUUUAUAGGCAACAACCUUAUACCCACCUUAUAGACCGGCUUCGUGAAUGAGGCGUACUAGCGGUAAGACGACUUUGUUCUUAUACAUAUAUAUAUAAUUAUUAAAUCAUAAUAAUAUAAGUAUAAGGGUUGAAUUUUAACUUUUAAAAUUCUAGGGGUUGGAACUAAAGUUUUAACUUAACUUUACUUGUUCCAAAACUUGAGGGCAAGUUUUGUAAACUUUCAAAACUUUUCAUUUCUUGUAACUUAUGAGUUUAAUAGAGUAAUAAAAUGAGGACUUUUCAUUUUUCCUAACUCUUGUGUUCUUUUAAUGGUUUUUAAUCCAAGAGACUUUUGGUUUUCCAUAACUUGAGGACAAGUUAUGGACUCCAUUAAAACACAUUAUGAUCAUGAAUUAAUCUACCACAUAGGUUACAAAUAAUUCCUAUGAUCAUCUAAACAUCAUAAGAACAAGAAUAUGAAUAUGAACACUUUCAAGAAUCAAAAUCACAUUUAAUCUUUGUAAUUUUGAUAACUAGUUGUUGUAAAUGAGUUAGAAAAGACAUUACACCUUCUAAAAUAAGUUUUCAAGUACCAAAACAUUUUAGGGUAAUGAUUCUAAUCCAUUUCCAGCAACACAAGUCGAAAUUCUGCACUCUGUCGACCCUACUCGCCGAGUGCAUAAACCUACUCGCCGAGUAGGUUGAAGAUACACAUGAACUCGUCGAGUCCUCCCCAUGGACUCGCCGAGUCCAUCAGUCAGACAGCAAGAUUUUCGACUUUCUUCAACUUUUAAGCACAAAUAACAAACAAACAAGCCUAGGCUCUGAUACCACUGAUGGGUUUUGAGCAUUCUAACACUUCCUAAGUGUACAUGCAACCCUAAUAACCUUGGAUCUAUGUUUGUCUAAUUAUCAUGCAAAGUUGAAUUCCAAGGUUAUAUUCCUAUCUAGCAUACAUGGGGAACAAUUUUAACUUGAAUCAUAGAUAGAAUAACUUACCUUGUUGUUGCUUGUGUUCCUUGAAACCUUGUGUGCCUAGCACCCCAAGUGUGAUGCCUCAAAUGCUUCACACAACACCAAAUGCUUUUGGAAAGACUCUUGAGAUAACACACACUUCUCAAAAUCGGCCAAGCCCUCUUGUUUCUUAUUAGUGCCGAUUUUGGUGGAGAAUGGGAUCCUUAUAUAGUGUUGACACAUCUAGGGUUACACCAUGUAAACCCUAAUGUGUCAUGACUCUUCAUUUUCAUGACCCAUGGGUUUGUAACUCCCAUGGAGCAUCCAUGGAGCAUCCUAUGGGUAGAACCCAACUUGAUAAUCCAUGGAGCCUCUUAGCCCACUAUACAAGAUAUGGAUGAACCCAUAUAUUUAAUUAGUUAACCUUUGAUCACUUAAUUAAUUCCAAAUUAAUUCUUGAUCAAACUAAUCAAAUAAUAUUAUUAAUAUAUUAGAACUUAUAAUAUAUUAAUAAUCUCCAAGUGUUAUUUCUCUCAUUUAGUCUAACCAAUUGCAUGGUGCCAUGCAACCCAAAUGG